GUCCGCGACGAUGCGGCGGGCGGCUGUGGUGACGUGAGGCGGGUGGACCCAAAAGAACCUCCUUGGCAUUGCAGAGCUGCUCUAGGCCGAGCUGCAUCUGUGCCAGUCUCUUCCCCAAGAGCCGGAGUUGGGUCGCAUCCCCUUGAGGACGGGGGAACGGGGCGGCAGAGUGCAUCUGUCGCCGACACUUCUCCUCGCUGUCCACUAAGGCCCGUGCCUCGAGUGGUGGGAGUUCUUUCUGAAGUUGGGAUGACUCCCGCUGCAGAUUGUGCACCUCGGUCAGCACCAGCUGCUGCCACUCCUCCAGCACGUUGACCCGCUGCUUCAACGUGUCCCGUUCCCGGAGAAGCUCCUCCAGCUGAUUCGCGUCCACGCCCGAACCUCAUGGCCGGCGUCGGACGUUUGCCAGAUGGUCAGUAAAGUCUGCCAUUUCUGGCGUAAACUGGAGCCUACUACUUGUGGAGCAACUGUGCCUGGUCCCUGUGAUAAAGGGGUCUUUUUGGUGAGGGGACCUUAACUGUGGGAGCAGAGAGGGUAGGGAACUUGCAAGUAGGCCAUUUAAGGCCCUCUGAUUUGACCGGAAGUCAAGGCCACACUUAAUACUGAAUCUUCGUUUCAGGCCUCAUACCAGAAUUGAUUCUUUGAUGCCUUGACAUCAAUUACACCUUGGUGAUGACUGAGACUUUUAGGGAGGAAGACAAAUGCUUCCCUGGAAGCACAAUUGGCCAGAAAGGAGAAGUGGUCAUCAGCAAACUCAAUGCCUGGGCCAUGAGCUGCCAUACAUGUGCACCUCGAAACCCUUAUGGGUCUGGAGAGCCCCUGACAGCAGCAGGAUGAGCAGCAGCACAGGAGAUGGGCUGGAUUCUCUGCCCUUCGCCCUAGUCCCGAGUAUCCUGCCAGCUCUUCCGCCCUGAGUUAAUUGCAGUUAUAAAAUUUCGUACCAGCAACAAGAAACCCG
Molecule: long non-coding RNA, 958 nt
Filed under: Equus caballus (horse)
Lineage: Eukaryota; Metazoa; Chordata; Mammalia; Perissodactyla; Equidae
Description: lncRNA (ENSECAG00000057090.1)
Source: RNAcentral